AGAGAGAAGCUUGCUUCUCUUGAGAGCGGCGGACGGGUGAGUAAUGCCUAGGAAUCUGCCUGGUAGUGGGGGAUAACGUUCGGAAACGAACGCUAAUACCGCAUACGUCCUACGGGAGAAAGCAGGGGACCUUCGGGCCUUGCGCUAUCAGAUGAGCCUAGGUCGGAUUAGCUAGUUGGUGAGGUAAUGGCUCACCAAGGCGACGAUCCGUAACUGGUCUGAGAGGAUGAUCAGUCACACUGGAACUGAGACACGGUCCAGACUCCUACGGGAGGCAGCAGUGGGGAAUAUUGGACAAUGGGCGAAAGCCUGAUCCAGCCAUGCCGCGUGUGUGAAGAAGGUCUUCGGAUUGUAAAGCACUUUAAGUUGGGAGGAAGGGCAGUUACCUAAUACGUGAUUGUUUUGACGUUACCGACAGAAUAAGCACCGGCUAACUCUGUGCCAGCAGCCGCGGUAAUACAGAGGGUGCAAGCGUUAAUCGGAAUUACUGGGCGUAAAGC
RNAcentral lists this ribosomal RNA (500 nucleotides) under Pseudomonas sp. RNAcentral describes it as "bacterial SSU rRNA". It matches the Rfam family "Bacterial small subunit ribosomal RNA", at positions 71 to 566 of the family's 1533-position model. Lineage: Bacteria; Pseudomonadati; Pseudomonadota; Gammaproteobacteria; Pseudomonadales; Pseudomonadaceae. The record is from RNAcentral.